Molecule: ribosomal RNA, 435 nt
Filed under: uncultured bacterium
Lineage: Bacteria
Description: bacterial SSU rRNA
Rfam family: Bacterial small subunit ribosomal RNA
Source: RNAcentral
UGAGGAAUAUUGGUCAAUGGUCGCUAGACUGAACCAGCCAAGUAGCGUGCGGGAUGAAGGCCCUCCGGGUCGUAAACCGCUUUUAGACGGGGAUAAAAGGGCGUACGUGUACGCCGUAUUGCAUGUACCGUCAGAAAAAGGACCGGCUAAUUCCGUGCCAGCAGCCGCGGUAAUACGGAAGGUCCGGGCGUUAUCCGGAUUUAUUGGGUUUAAAGGGAGCGUAGGCGGGCUUUCAAGUCAGUGGUAAAAUCGUGUGGCUCAACCAUACCUCGCCAUUGAAACUGGAAGUCUGGAGUGCACACAGGGGUGCCGGAAUUCAUGGUGUAGCGGUGAAAUGCUUAGAUAUCAUGAAGAACUCCGAUCGCGAAGGCAAGUGCCCGGGGUGCAACUGACGCUGAGGCUCGAAGGUGCGGGUAUCGAACAGGAUUAGAUACC